RNAcentral lists this ribosomal RNA (493 nucleotides) under uncultured bacterium. RNAcentral's name for it is "partial 16S ribosomal RNA". It matches the Rfam family "Bacterial small subunit ribosomal RNA", at positions 30 to 523 of the family's 1533-position model. The record is from RNAcentral.
AUUGAACGCUGGCGGCAUGCUUUACACAUGCAAGUCGAACGGUAACAGGUUAAGCUGACGAGUGGCGAACGGGUGAGUAAUGCAUCGGAACGUGCCCGGUCGUGGGGGAUAACGCAGCGAAAGUUGCGCUAAUACCGCAUACGAUCUGAGGAUGAAAGCGGGGGACCGUAAGGCCUCGCGCGAUCGGAGCGGCCGAUGUCAGAUUAGAUAGUUGGUGGGGUAAAGGAUCACCAAGCCAACGAUCUGUAGCUGGUCUGAGAGGACGACCAGCCACACUGGGACUGGGACACGGCCCAGACUCCUACGGGAGGCAGCAGUGGGGAAUUUUGGACAAUGGGCGAAAGUCUGAUCCAGCAAUGCCGCGUGCAGGAAGAAGGCCUUCGGGUUGUAAACUGCUUUUGUACGGAGCGAAAAGGUCUCCUCUAAUACAGGGGGCUCAUGACGGUACCGUAAGAAUAAGCACCGGCUAACUACGUGCCAGCCGCCGCGGUAA